RNAcentral lists this long non-coding RNA (36667 nucleotides) under Prunus persica (peach). RNAcentral's name for it is "long non-coding RNA (PPER_LNC002200)". Lineage: Eukaryota; Viridiplantae; Streptophyta; Magnoliopsida; Rosales; Rosaceae. The record is from RNAcentral.
UUGAAGGAUCUUGACAAGUUCAUCCAAGCACCACCUCGAAGAUGCAUAGUUUUCAGAGAAUACAAUGAGAGAAAUUCUUGAUUCUUCAAUUGCUUUGACAAGGGCUGGCGAUAUUUCUUCUCCUCUUACAAGCUCUCGAUCAAUGAAGGUGUAGAUGCCCUUAUCACACAAGGCCUUGUAUAAAUGAUCUGUAAAAUUGGUGCUUGUAUCCUCGCCUCUAAAACUCAAAAACACAUCAUAUUUCCAUGAUGAAUCAUGAGUGAAAGAAGAAGAAGAAGGAGAAGAAGAGUCUGGUUGAGUGGUCAUAGGGGGCAGAUCUGAAGGAAGUUGAGGUUCCACUCCAAAAUCAAUUGGCAAUGGGAGAGCAACCCAACUCCCCAUCAACCUCAAUAAAAAUUUGAAGAACAUUGAAGAAUUGAAGAAGAAGCAGAGAGAAUCUUAUGAGGCUUGGGAUGCAGAUAAAACUAAGAGAAGCUCAAAGAUUGGGUGUGGCAGUGGCGCUGUGGUUAGAUUUAUGAGGCUUGGCGAAUCAGUUUCCUACCACCUUCAAUGUGAAGGCGUGAUUAAGUUAAAGGUAGGCGAGGAACUUUGGUUUGAGUUUUUUUACUGAAGAAUAUAAAGAGAAGGUGCUAAGAUGGUUAGGUCUAUGAAGUUUAAGAGGGGGAGAGGAACUUGCAAUAAUUAAUGCAACUUACUUCAGUUUUUGUCUUUUCCUCAAUAAAUUAAUAUUAAGACUGGUUUGUCUUUUUCAGUUUUUGUAAACUCAAUGUGGUCCAAAUUAUUUUUUAAAAACGAGUAAUUCCAUGUGGUCCACCUCCGUUAAAUAUUUCUAAAGACACCUUAACUUUGCAACAACCAACAAGAGUUUGUCUGUGGUGCGCCGGGUGUACCUGUACAGCCCAUCACGUGGCCUUUUUUUAAAAACAAUGAAAACUGGUUCUUUUGGUUAACCAGUUAAACUAAGGAAAAUAAAAACUCCUGCUCGUUCAAAACCUAGGCUGCACACAGAUCGAUUUCGACUAUCUCCUCCUCCAUAGCUUUGCACAGCCACAGCUCUAUUUCGGUGAAUUCAUAGCUGCACAGCUUCCUACAGCCUGAAGAAGCUCCCCCCACUUCGUCUUCUCCAUCUGAGGAGCAGAUUUCAGCCAAAACCCAGAAACCCACUUCGUCUUCUCCAGCUGCUUCCUCCAUCUCGGUAAGUUCGUGUGUUGAUUUUCGUUAUGUGUAAUUGAUGGUUCUAUUUAAUUUAUUCUUCUAGUGAUUUUGAAUUGUUGUUUCAGUUUUUUCAUUGAACAAUUCCAGAAAUUAAUGAUUCAAAUUUUGUAUUUCUUUUCCCACUUUGCAUUUCUGCUGGGUUGUUAUAGUGCCUCUUGAUCUGAUUGUAUAUAUAAAUACCCAUGAGGCCUCUGAUUGUGUAUGAUUUAAUUGUGGUAGGUUUGUGAUUCUGAAAGUGGCGUGAGGUGAAGUGGGUAUCUGACAUUGAUGGCUGUAAUGUUCAUGCAAUUGCAUAUCUCUGUAUGCAAUUACUAAUAGCGUGUAUGCAAAUCCAAGUCAUUGAAUGCAAUUAGAGUAUAUAGUUUUUUUUUUCCAAAGUAUGCACGUAUCUCACAUUCAUAGUUGUAAUGUUCGUGGAAUUGCAUAGCUCAAUAUGCAAUUGCAUAGCUCAAUAUGCAAUUGCAUAUCUCUAUAUGCAAUUACUAAUAGCCUGUAUGCAAAUCCAAGUCAUUGAAUGCAAUGACAGUAUAUAGUUUUUGUUUCAAAUUAUGCAACUCAGGUGAUUUUGUGGUAGGUAGGUAGGUUUGACUGUGCUUUAGAAUAAUUUGUUAUGGGGAUUAAAGUGUUCCGAAAGUGUAAUGUGAGGAUUGGUUAAGAUUUGUAUUGGGAUUUGAAAUGAGUAAGAAUCCCGACCCAAUAGAGAAAUGCAUGGGUGGGUUGUGUGCAUUAUCUGUGCAAUGUAAUAAUCGAGGGCUGAUGCACUUGCAAGUAGUAUCGAGCAAUUGCAUAUCAGUAUAUGCAAUUACUAAGCUACUGUAUGCAAAUCCAGGUCCCCGUAUGUUUUUAAUUAAGCAAUGUGAUGUUGUGGUGUUUACGGGGUUUAGGGGGUAUUAGGCUUUGGAUUAGUAUUCAAAUUCUCGGCGCUAGAGACAAUUGCACGAUAGUGUUUUGUACUUGAUUUGUGCAAGUUAUGGAAGCUCAAAAAAGGGGAUCAACAAAAGGAAAGCGCAAAGUCGACAGUAAUGUGCAACAAUCAAGAGUUGGCCAGGAUGCAUUUUUUAAUUUCAUGUAAGUUACACGUACAUCUAAAAAUCGAAAAUGUAGUUGCUUAAUAUUAUGAUGGUUUUUUGAUUAAAAAUAAAUGAUUUACAAAAAAAAAAAAAAAAAAAAAGACAUAAAAUGGGGAAAGUGGCAAAUGCAAAGUUGGACAAUAAGGUGAGAGAUGGCAAUGGAUUGGGUUAGUUUAUUAAUUAUUUUAUUAAAAAGGCUCUUUUAAUGAGAUUUUUUUUUCCAGGUACAAGAAGAGAUUGCUAAUAAAUGGAGGAAAUUAAACAUUAAAGAGAAGGCUACAUAUGGUUCAGCCUUGGAAGGUUCGAGUGGGCCAAGGAUUAAAAUAUCAACCAUGUAAAUAAUAUAGGGCCUCCAAUUUACGGAUAUUUCGGGGGAUAUAUUAUUAUCGUCUUAGGUAUCGGAAAAAAGAAGAAGACAGAUAUAGGUAUUGAAACACAUAAUUUUGGUAUAAAACUUUCAUAAAUGUUAUGUACAUUAUCAAUGAAUGUAUUGAACAAAUAAAACUCAAGAUUUACUAAUAAUAAGAUAUACAUAUGAUGAAAUAUAAGUGGUAUGUAAUGUGUGUUAAUGAAAAGUUUGAAAAUAAAAUGUUGAUUAGAAUGAAUAAACCAUGCAUAAAUCCAUAGUUUGUUUUAACAUUGAAUUACAAUUUAGAUAAGUGUCCAUCUACAUAAAUGAAGAGCUCUAAUGAGGUUCAAACAAUGAGGAACAACCAUCUAGAUUCAUACAAUAGUCAUACCAAGUUACGUAACCCGAGCAGUUUGUAAGCCAUGUUUGAACAUGGUGCACAUAGGUCUCUCUUGAGCUCUCUACUAUCUUCCCAUAUAUGAGAUAGUUAAGAUUAACCCAACUAGUAGAAAAGGGCGGCCCUGAAAUAGUGCAAGUGGCGCCAAUGCACAGGGCCCCUGAUUUUUGAGGACCCCCUAAAAUUAUUUAUUUUACAUAAUUUAUAUUAUUAUUAUAACAACUGUAUAUAUACUCCAACGUGCAACAAAUUGACACAAAAAUUUAUUUAGUGGAGUUGGUUUCUAGUGCAUAUCCCUUGGUACAAGGCUUACAUGAAAAAUUUUAAGAACCACAUUUUAAAUAGUUUUAAAAAAGAAGCACCUGAAAAAUAUCAGGGGAAAGAUCCAAUUAAAUUAACAAUACUAUAUAUCACACCCAUACGCUUUUUCUUUAAAAUAAUAAUAAUAAUUUCUUCAACUCAAAACAAAACAAAACAACAUAAAAAAUAAAAAAUCAUGUCUUCUUCUUUCUCAUGAACUCUUAUUUUUUUUCUUACCGAACACACCAACAUUUAACUUUAUCAAAUGAACACAACGUACUCAACAAACGCAACCUUUGCGUUCGCGUGAAAAAAUAGUGUGUUUGUUUAAAAAAGAAAUUUAGUAGGGUCCAUUUUUCCGGGGAACGGGCAACUUUACCCAACGAACGCACUCCUUGCGUUUGCAUGAAUAAAUAUCCCGUUUGUUUGAAAAAGUAAGUUCAUUUGGCCCAUUUUUCCGAGGAACGGGCAACUUUACUCAAUGAAUGCAACCCCAACGUUCGCGUGAACAAAUCGCCCGUUUGUUUGAAAAAGUAAGUUAGUUGGGCCCAUUUUUUCAAGAAACGGGCAACUUUACUCCACGAACGCAACCCAUGGCGUUCACGUGAACAAAAAGCCUGUUUGUUUGAAAAAGUAAGUUAGUUGGGCCAAUUUUUCCGAAGAACGAGCAACUUUACUCAACGAACGCAAUCCCUGCGUUUACAUGAACAAAUAGCCCGUUUGUUUGAAAAAGUAAGUUAGUUUGGCCAUUUUUUCAGGGAACGGGGAACUUUACUCAACGAACACAAACCCUGCAUUCGCGUGAACAAAUAGCCUGUUUUCUUGAAAAAGUAAGUUAGUUGGGCCCAUUUUUCAGAAGAACGGACAACUUUACUCAACGAACGCAACUCAUUGCGUUCGCGUGAACAAAUAGCCCGUUUGUUUUAAAAAGUAAGUUAUUUGGGCCCAUUUUUUCAGGGAACGAGAAACUUUACUUAACGAACGCAAGCCCUGCGUUUAUGUGAACAAAUAGCCCGUUUGUUUGAAACAGUAAGUUAGUUUGGCCCAUUUUUCUGGGGAACGGGCAACUUUACUCAAUGAACGCAACUCCUGCAUUCGUAUGAACAAAUAGCCUGUUUGUUUGAAAAAGUAAGUUAGUUGGGCCCAUUUUUCAAGGGAACGGACAACUUUACUCAACGAACACAACCCCUGCGUUCGCAUGAACAAAUAGCCCGUUUGUUUAAAAAAGUAAGUUAGUUUGGCCUAUUUUUUCGGGGAACGGGUAACUUUACUCAACGAACGCAACCGAUGCGUUUACGUGAACAAAUAGCCCGUUUGUUUGAAAAAGUAAGUUAGUUUGGCCCAUUUUUUAGAAGAACGAGCAACUUUACUCAAUGAACGCAACCCAUGCGUUUACGUGAACAAAUAGCCCGUUUGUUUGAAAAAGUAAGUUGGUUGGAUAUAUUUUUUCGGCGAACAGAAAACUUUCCUCAACGAACGCACCUGUUGCGUUGGUGUGAAAAAAUACCCCGUUUGUUUGAAAACGUAAGGUGGUUGGGGCAUGUUUUCGGCGAACGGGUAACUUUUUUUAAGGAACGCACGUAUUGCGUUCGUUUGAACAAAUACCCUGUUGGUUUAAAAAAUUAGCUAUGUUGGCCUUCUUUUUCGGCAGAACGUCGAGUAUUUUUGAACGAAAGCAAAUCCUUACGUUCGUUUGAACAAACUCCCCAUUUGUUUGAAAAAGUAAGUUGGUUUGGCCAAUUUUAUGGGGAACAGAUAACUUUACUGAACGAACGCAACCCUUGCGUUCACUAGAACAAACACCCCGUUUGUUUGAUAAAAUAUUUUAGUUAGUCCAAUUUCUCGGGGAACGACUAGCUUUACUCACCGAGCGCUCCCCUUGCGUCUUCGAAGUAAAAUACCUUUUUUGUUGAGUAAAUCAAGGAGUUCGUUGGGUAAUUUGGUCAACGAACAACAUUAUUUACCCGACGAACGAGUCGCUUAGCGUUCUUUAGGUAGGUUUGUUGGGCAUAAAUUACUGAAUAUAACUUUCAUGAUUUACUACUAAUUUAACCCAAUGAAGUAUUGAGAAUAAAAUUGAACUUUGUUGAUUAUCUCCAAUUAUUCCUAUAUUGUUAAUUAAAAAAAAAUUCAAUAAAAUCAAACAUAUGAUUGUUGGUACAAAUAUAAAUUUAAAAGCUUUCAACAAAAAUUAUUAUUUAAUGGUCGAUUGAUUGAGUCACAUUGAAUUGACGAAAAAGAAAAUUGGACCUUUUCGAUUAUGAUCAAUGCCCAAUUGAUAAUAUAUGACCACGAAGUGAAGUGGAAAUAUGAGAAGUCUUCUUAUAUCCAAUCUCAUUGCUUAGCCCACAUACGAAUCAUAUUCCAAGGAUUGUUGUGCUAUUAUGAUUGUAGACUAAAUAACAUAGAUGCAAACAAUGAUUUUGGCCAUAAAUGAUGGUGAAAUAUCCAAAAAAGAACGCAAUAUCACAUGUUUGGCUUUAAGGCAUAUAUUUAAUAUCCUUUCAUAUUAUUUAAUGUUACAUAAUUCAAUUAUGUUUAACGUAUGAAAUGAUCAAUGUGCCCUCAUAUUUAAUGACAGAUUGGACUAAAUGUUAGGGAAUUAAACGGCAGGGGAGACAUUGGUGAUAAAGAAAAUUCAUAUCCGUAAUAUUAUGAAAAAAAAGGUCAUGCGAUAAAUUGAAAAUUGGAUACAAGUUCAAGGACUAAAUCAACAAUUUAACCAUGUUAAUGGUUUUUGUGGGCAUAUAUCGCAUAUUUGAUAGCACGUGUGCAAUUCUCAAUUUAUAGUAUCCAUAUGCAUAUGCCUGUAUGCAAUCUCGUAGCAUCUAUGUGCAAUCUCAUUUUACAAUAUGCAAUUGCAUAUAUAUACGCAAUUUCGUAACGUCUAUUUGCAAUUAUUAGUUUACAAUAUGCAAUUGCCUUCCGCCCUUUUUUUGGUUUUUAACUUCUUUCGUUUUUACUAGAAGGCUCAUUGGCUCACACUCUUAUAACGUAUGCAAAGAUCACCAAAUUUCCUCUUUUUGGCUAGAGGGCCUCUUUUGUGUCUGUGUUCAUUUGCAUGACAAUACGGAUAAUCUACUACUACCUAAAAGCUAUAGAAAAUUAUAUGUGAUAUCAUCUAUUUUCUCUAACCAAGACUACAUGUCACAUAAAUAAGAAAUAAGAUCUCAAAAAAGAAACAUAAACAAAGAAAACACUUCACCUAAAAUAUUUUGUAAUACGUUUAGCUCAAUUUAUAACUUGUAGAGUACACAAAUGUUAGCCCCUAAAUAUUAGGCUCUCAGAAGAAGGUGAGAAUCUCACCAAGUAUGCAUGAAAAGUCCAAGUGAGCAUACCCCUUUCUGCAAAUGAGAGGGAGGUAGAGAGAGAUUAUUCAAACACUGUGAUGGUAUCUCAAAACACAUAUUUCAGUGUAACAAAAAUGCACUUGUCUUAACUGCUCUUUUCCUGACUCCUUAGCCAGAGCAACCAAUAUAUAGCAAUUACGGCAAUCACAACAACCAAUAUCAAUCAUGAACAUCACAUUUAAACCAUACACUUACAGAUUUAGCAAUACAAUCUUUGAAAUGGUAAUGGCAACCCAAGACACUUCACCUAAAAAAAAAUUAUAUAUAUAUAUAUCAUGUCUUCUUCUUUCUCGUGAACUCUUAUUUUUUCUUACCGAACAUACCAACAUUUAAAUUUAUCAAAUGAACGCAACAUACUCAACGAACGAAACCUCAAUUGUUACUAGAUUGUUAAUGGGUAAAUAACUCAAUGACAUAGCAUUCAAGUCAAACGUUUCUUUAAACAUCACACUGUCGCUAAUUGCAUACAGGGGGUCAAAAAUUGCAUAAACUGUAUGCAAUUGCACAAAAACUAUAUGCAAUUGCACAUAAGAAAUAAUAUAGCCAAAACCAAAACCAGUUAUGAGGUUUCUUAGUUAAAGAACUCAUCUUUCUCUUUUGAUGCCAACCUCAGUUCUCCACUAACAAGCCCGAAAACUCCAAUUGGAUUCAUCAUGACCAGAGUUCUUGAGUAAUAAAACAAAUCUCAAAUUGAAAAAAAAAAAAAAGAGUAGGAAUUCAAGAAUCCAAGACUUUAAAGAAAAUCAACAACCUGAUUGUUCAAAAUUUCAUACCUUAUUUUGAAGCACAAAUCCAUAACGUCAUACAUGGAAGAAAACAAAUCCUCCAUAAAACGAAAAUUACAUGGGUUUGAUGGAGAAAGGAUCACAGUGGGUCUGAUGCUGUGAUGAAAUUAAGAGAAAAUAUUAAAAUAUUAAAAUAUUAAAAAUUAUUAAAAGAGGGAAAAAAAAAUCACCAAGAUUCAGUCCAAGGCGUUGAAUUUUUUCUCCCAUCAAAGGCUCUGCAACACAGACAUCCUCACUCCAGAUUCAAUACUAAGUCGUUGAAUUUCUACCCAAAUAAAGGCCUUUCACACCACCCCCGUCGAACUCGACUGAAUCACCCCACUCUGUCUCCUCUCCGAUGGUUCUUGCAUCGCAGUGUCGGCAGAGAGGAGAUGCAUCAGAUUCCAACUUGGGGACAAAGAUGAGGAUUGGAUUUGAGAGAGAGAGAAAGAGAGAUAUAUUGCAAAGAUGAAGCAGCUCCCAGUGCACGCGAUGUCCGAUGACUGUUGCAUCUCAGCGUCGGCAGAAGUGAGACGCCCAGAUUCUGAUUUGGGGACAUAGAUGAGGAUUGGAUUUCCAAGAGAGAGAGAUCGAUCGCAGAGAUAAGCAGGUCCAAUGCACGCCAGGGCUUCCGCACGUUGAAGCUUUUCACUUGUUUUCUCAGUCACGUGUAUGUCACGUGAUAUUUAAUAACAAAGGGCUCAACAAGUCUUCAGGUCAUUCAAUCUCAGCCCUUUAUUUUUAAGAUGCAAUACUGACCCUUGGAUAACUGGCUGUACCGAUACAGCUGAGGCACCAAAGAAUUUUCCCAACCAACAAAUCCUUUCACUGUAAUUAAAUGCAUAUCUUUAGAUUAUGUUAUCUUUACAACGACUCUUUGACUCAGUGGAUUCAUGUAUUGAUAUAAUUUAUAACUGUUGGUGUUCCUAGUCCCAUCCGCUACAGAAAACCAAUAAUGUUUAACAUUCAGUUUCUGAGAUGAGAUCUGUAGCUUUGUGAUUAAUUAGUGAUAGGAUUCUCAGGGUUAAUAUGGUCUUAUGAUCUUUUUGUGUGUUAGCUGAGCUGGCAAGGUUUUGUCAGGCAAUUGGUUAGUUAGCUGGCAAUUUGUUUUGUUAGUUAACAGCUGGUAUUUGCUUAACUGGAAAGCGAUUAUACUAGUGGGCUUAUGCUCAUUCUAAGGCAUGUGAUUGUAAAUCCAGUUUCAAUAAGAAAUAAUAGUUCUGAUUCUUUGGCAUUGGAUUAAGGUUGAAGAGUUUCUAUCAAUCAGCAGCACUUGAAUGAAACUUCUUGGUACGUAAUACUAAUUAGGAUGAUUAUCCUAAACCCACAAUUAAACACAACUUAAAUAUGUGCUUAGCUUCAUCGAAACAAAUAAUAUGUGUUUAGCUUGACCAUGCUUCUUGUGAAUAAAUAUAAAUGCAGUUAUAGUAAGGCAGAGUUAUUGUAGUUGAUAAACACAUAACCUGGGCUACAUCCCGUGUCACUUUCUUUUCGCCAGCCCAAAAAAUGAAAAAUAUCUCUUAAAAUGCAACUUUUGUAAUCUAGAGGAUUAGAGACGCAACUAACAAUAUAUAUUAGGGUAAAUUAAUAAUUUAAUAAAUAGUUUGGUAGUAUGGUGUAUUCAGUCAAUUUUAAAGUUCGUUUAAUAGCACCCUUUGUGUAAUUAUUUAACAUGCUCCCAUAUUUAUUGCUUCUCAUAAUUUCAAUAGAUUGAGUCACUGUUGUAUUCUAAUUUUUUUUUCCCAUUCCCCUCAUCGCUGUGAUAAGUUGUUUAUGUCAAAAUAUUAUUGUGGGGUGAUGGCGCCAUCAUCGUGCUUCACUGCUUUUAUCAGAAAUCACCGUCUUCUAUUUCGCAUCUGAUCUCCAAUUUCAGGAAGCGGCUUUGUGAUAACGAUCUAGGAGUCAUGGGGGUCAUGCUCUGCCCGUUGUUUGACCUCAUUACCAUCGAUGUGAAAAUUCUUAUGAGGAUUUGGUGGUCAGCUUUGUCAGGAUUCUCAAGCAGGUCGCCGAGCUCAGGUUGCCUAAGACCUAUGAUUACCAUCAGUUGCCAGCUCCCUUUAUACAGGUUUUACUUACAUUUCAAUGAAGUUGAGCUUAUUAAAGUGUGAAGUUUUUGGUAUGAUAGAGGGAUUGAAAUAAUCAGGUUUGCUUGUUUGCUGUAACGUAAUGUAGUAAUUGAAUUAGUUUGACAAUGCAGCUUAGGCUGUUGAAGAUCUUGGCAUUGUUGUGGAGUGGUGAUAAGCAAUCUAGUGAGAAGAUGUAUAUGGUAGUCUGCGAUAUUUUUAGGAAGUGUGAUUCUACCAGUAAUAUAGGAAAUGCUGUACUUUAUGAGUGUAUUUGUUGGGGAGUGGUCGAAUUACUCAUUUCAAGGUCAAGCUGCUCCUUCCUUAACUGCCAUGACAGCUUCUUAUUCUCCUGAGUAAGUAUGGAUUGUUGAUAGUGGAGCCACACAUCAUAUGGUGAGUGAUGUGUCUUAGUUGCAAAAUGUGACUCCAUGUGCUACUGAGGAAAAUGUCACAGUUGGUAAUGGGGAAAUGUUUCUAGUGCCACAUAUAGGCUUACAAUGCCCUUUGUUUUUCAUAUUCCUCAACUCAAAGUGAAUCUUUUGUCAGUGCACCAACUUUGUAAGGAUAACAACUGCUAUAGUGUGUUUGAUGUCUUUGGUUUCUUAAUACUGGACAAAGUCACUCAUCAGGUGCUUCCUCAAGGGAAAGAGUGAUCAUGGCUUAUAUCCUUUUCCACUGCUUCCUCAGUCUACAAUAUCUUCAGUUUCUUCAAUGAAUAAAGCUUACAUUGGCCAACAAAUUAAGUCCUCCCCCUAUGGCAUCAGAGGUUAGGACAUACCACUAAUGAGGUUACAAAGAAAAUGUUGUAAGCCUGGGCUAUUUCUGUUUCUGAUGAUCUUCCUUCAGCCAUUUGUUCAGCAUGUUUACAAGGCAAAAUGCAUAGGUUGUCUUUUUCUGCUAGUCAUUCUAGAGCUACUUUGCCAUUUCAAUGUCAGAGCAAGUUAGCUUACGUGGGAAAGCCCAACGGCCACACGUGCUCCACGUCACUCAAUAUAUGUUUUUCAUGUGUUAGACUUGAAAAUUUGCCACACAUGAUGGGGCGUGUGAGAAUAAAAAGGUAUAAAGUCCCACAUUGGAAAGUUGAGAAACCUAGCAAAGGCUUAUAAAGAGUUGAGCUACUCCCCCCAUUACCAAUUGGUUUUUGGGUGGAACCUCAACUUCCUUCAUGGUGGGCUUUCUUUUCAUCCAUUUUGUGCUUAGGGUAUCAAGUUUAGCUCUCAGGUUAUCGGCUACCAUUCACAAUAGUUAAACCAUAAACUCUAAAGCGCUAACAAGCGAUUCAACAUCCUAAAGUAACAAAUUGUUUUGAACAAAAAUUAAAGAUGUAAAAUGAAAACAAAAAGGAGACUUGAAAACAAAACGGACUGAGCAGCUGCUCAAGCCGCUUUCACAGAAUUCAACAUCAGCUCUAGCAGAAUGACGUGUGUACUGUAGAUCAUCCGCUCUUGAAUGGUUGACCAUAUGUAUGUAUGUAUGCAUGUAGUUUCCUAAUCUUUUUAUGAUUGAAGGCCUAGUCAGCAAGAAGUUGAAUCAGAGUUGAAAUGUCUUUUAAGUGGUUGGUGGUGGGUCUCUUUUGAAAUAGUUUCUAGAAGAAAGAAGCAUAGUACAAUUUUACUUUACACCAUUAUAAUGUUGAUAUUCAUCUAAUCAAUGAUUAGCUAUAAUGUUGUCAUUUUCAUUUUGUUUUGGCCUGUCAUGGAAGUAUAUAUCGAUUGAUAAAAAUCUUUCUUCCCUUGCAGUGUCAAUCUUUGGUGGAAGAAUUGUCAGCUUCUCACUCAACAGAUCUGCAGCAGCGUGCAUAUGAAUUGCAAGCUAUCAUUAGCUUAGAUUCUCCUGCAGUUGAGAGUAUUAUGCUGUCAGACGCAAGUUUUGAAGACAUUGAGGUCAUAUUUAAUUGCAUUAUCUACUUGUACCCUUCUUUUUUCUUUUUUUUUUUUGGCUUCUCCUUUAAAGUAUUGAGAACUAUAGUAGUUCUGCAUUUCUCUUUUCCUUGUUAUCUGGUGGUUGUUGGCUUACUGUCUGAAGCUCCUGUUUUCUAAUGGUAAAGUCUAAUGGUUGUUUAACCUUGUGAUUUCAUUAAGGCCCGUUUGGUUCGUAGAAUGAAUUUGAGGAGAAAUUAUUUUCCAUGUCAUUCCUCAAGGAAUGGGAAUGAAAGAUUCCUUUCUCACAUUUGGUGAUGCUGGAAAAAUAACCGGAAAAUAUCACUUUAUUUCCUUUCCCAUGUUUGUUUUGAGUAUGAAUGGAAAAUAAAGUUUGUAUAAAUUUUCAAUUAUAUCCAUAUUAAAUCAAAUAAAAACAGAAUGAAUUUAAUGAUAUAUUGUAAUUCUAAAUUGUUAAUGGGGAUAAAAUGGUCAUACAAAAUAUGUAUUUAAUGUUAGCUCAUUUUUCCAAACUUUCUCAUGAGGAGGGAAAACAAAACUCAAGUUGGGAGGAUGGCUUCACUUUCCCCCUUACUUUCACAUGAGCUAGGCAACGAUUUCCCAUAUCUAGACUCACCAAACAUGGGAAAGCAAUUGAUUUUUCAUUCCCAAGUCUCCUUUUCCAUGAACCAAACGGAACCUAAAUUUGGUGACCCUUUUAUUGUUAUAUGCUAAACAAUAUACUAUAACUUUAAUUUUCUCUGGUUUUUUUUAACAAAAUGUAUCUUUUGGAAAGCAUUUGUUGAGAUAUAUCAAAUAGAAUCCUUGAAGAAUAUAAAUUAGGUAUAAGGAAAGGGAACUAAUGCAUGUCUCAUUAAAAAAUGUAGUUGCCUUGUAAAUUGUUCUAAUAGGACGUACCACUUUUCCAUGUUGUGAUAAUGUACCCUUCUCUUAUGGAUACAUUCUCUUGAUGCAACAUAAUUCAGUUUUUCAGAACAUGAUUGUUUUUGUGUUUCACAGAUACGUUAUUAUGAAUCAUGGCACAACAUUAAAUAUUUUAAAAACUGUAUAGAUACAGAAGAAUAUUUUCCAAAAUAGAAAUACUAUGACAAAUGAACAUGUAUCCUAACUGACCGUGAAUGCGGAAGGAAUAGCUUUGCUUGCUUCCUUGUCAAAUAUGCCCUAUCCGCACUACAUAUGGAAUGAAGUUUGAGAAAAAGCAAGGGCAUUAGUGAUAUUUUUUAAAUACUGAACAGUCAGCCCCUAUAAAUAGGCAAGCAAAUCACUAAACGAACCCUAAAAUUAAUAGAGUACACUCUAUUACCAAAUUAUUUAUUGAAUUACUUAUUUAUCUCAAUAUUGAAUUGUGAACCAAAUAUGAUUUUAAUAGGUCCAUAAAACCCUCAAAACCCCAUUUUUAUUUAUUUUAUCCCAUCUCCUUUCUUUCUACACUCAACUUGUAGAAAUAAUUUUAUUCUCAAUCCCAUUUUAAUAUAUAAGCCAGUCAGCUAAAACCCCUAUUAUUUUUUCUAUAAUUUUCAAUUGAGAGAGUAAAAUAGAGGUGUUAGCCGGAUUUGAAAUGAAAAGAAGAAAAUAUGGAAGACAAAAGAUACACGGUAUUUGCAGUUCCUUCUGGUUAUGUUUGUUACGGCAAUAAUUUGCAAUGAGCAGCACUUCAAAUAAUAAUAAGAAAAUAAUAAAAACAACCGGGCCUCAUCCAACACCUACACCGAUUACAGGGAAUUCUACCCUAAACAAAAUGUUCCACAACCUCAAUCCCGCGCACUCAUCUCCUCCCACCUAUUGCACUCGCAGCUUGUUGUUGUCAUGGAAGUAUAUGCGGGAUGGAUUAUUAAUUACGUUGUGAACCAGUCAGAUUGGUGAUCAUUUGAUUGGAAAUAGAAGGGGAUUUUUGGUAGUUAAAUAGAGUGUACUUAGUUAAUUUUACAUUUUAAUUAAAAUAUUAAAGUGUACUUAGAUCAUAGAGUAUACUCAUUUAAUUUUAUGGUUCAUUUAGCAGCACUCAAAGAAAAAGGCCAUUGUAGAUGUUGACUGAAAAAUAAUCUGACUAGAUACCUUUCUCUGUUUAAGUAGAAAGAUGUCAUGUACUGUUUGGUUGUUGCUGUUAUUGACCUUCUGAUAUUUUAUUUAGUAAAUUUGAAACUGUUGCUGUUAUUGGCUCAUAUAAACAUUAUGAUAUAGAUCUUGUGGUUUUAGAUCAAGAAAAAUUCAGAAUCAGUUUCUGAAUGAUUAGAAUUGCUUAUUUGACCAAGAUGCAUCGUAUUACACUAGCGAAACUUAAUUUAUGCGCUGCCUUUGGUUGGUAAUACCUGGAUGUUAAUCAAGUGAUUCUAAUUGGUAUUACACGACAUGCUUUAAUUAGUUUCCCGACUUCUUCGUCCCUGGUCCUUGCAUCUUAUUUCUUCCCUUUAGUUAUAAGUUGCUCUUUUCAUGGAUUUUGCAAUUGUAUUUCUCUAAUAUGCUUGAAAACCUUGAUUUUGGAUCAUGCGGAAACAAUUUAUUUACUUAUUUAUUGAAUAAGAUUAUUUUGUGCAAUAUUAAUAUUCAUCUUCUCUUGCAGAUUGAUAAAAGCCUUUCAUUCCUCAAUGGCUAUGUCCAACAAGCACUAGAGAAAGGUGCUCAGCCCUAUAUUCCCGAGAACGAGCGCUCUGGAAUGUUAAAUAUCAGCAACUUCAGUAACCAAGAUCAGCAUGAAGCUUUAACCCGUGGUCUUAGGUUUGAGGCAUAUGAGCAUCCAAAGCCAGCAGUGCCAUCAGGAAUUCCUCCAGCUGCAGUUGCAUCCUCAACCGAGCUUGUUCCAGUUCCUGAACCAUCUUAUGCUAGGGAGAUCCGCCAGCAGCCUGCAUCAUUGCCACCUAUGUCAGAUGCAGGAUUAUCGGAACUUAAGUUACGGCUAGAUUGUGUUCAAAGAAAAUGGGGUAUGCCAACAUAAUCCUCCCCAGCAUUGUCGAUCUCAAAUUCCUCGAGUUGUAGUUCCCAGAAAUCAGCGAAUGGGGUCACACAAAUAGAUAGCAUGAGCACUUCAAAUCCAAAAGCACGUGAUUCUUAUGAGUCAAGGAGGCCCCAGGUUGAAAUUUCUCCAGAAAGGCAGAAGCUUGCCAGUUCACUGUUUGGGGGAUCAUAAAAAACCGAGAGGAGGCCAUCUUCUGCCAACCAUAAGGUGUCUAAGGCGAAUAUCCAUGCUUCAGAGAAGACCCAGGUACCAAAGGCAGCAAUUGUACACACUGAAGUUAAUCAUGAACCUGCUCCGGACUUGCUCGAUUUGGGUGACUCAACUAGUAGUACUGCUUCCACUGUAGAUCCUUUCAAGCAGUUAGAGAGCUUCUUGAUCAAACUGAAGCAUUAACUGCAAAUCAUGGUGCAGCUCGUGCUGCUAAGACACAUGAUAUUAUGGGAUUACAUGCAGAUACAUCUCUCAGCGGGCUUAGUAGCAGUGUUGGCGACCCUUUGCCGACCAAUAGGGAUGAGUUUUAAUCUUGCAUCUGAGUUAUCAAAUGCUACAAGAACUGCUCAAAGUGGGGUAACACAAUUGAAUGAGGAUGCACUUGUAAGGCAGAUGCGUGAGUCAGAAUCCCAACUUGUUUAAAGAUUUGCUUGGCUAAAACUGUUCAGAAUGGCAAACUUUCGAUCAUGAUUGUUCGAGAUUGUUUGCUUCGUGGUAUGUGUGCAUGGUCUUUCGGUGUGGCUGGCUAUAUGAUAGGAAAUACAACUCAAUUCAAACAAGUUUCAAGGCCACCAUGCAGAGCUGUAAAGGCACCAUACACCAAGAAUGGUGGCAAAAAUGAGGUAUAGGCUUUUGUAUUUGUUGCACAGUGGCAUAUGUAGAAUAUAUAUAACCAAGUUGGUGAUUUGAAUAUGUUGGUUUGAGCCAUUUCAAUGCGGAGCUUUUUCUUUGCGGCAAUGUGGGCGGUUUUGCAGCGCUCCAAGGACACAUGGUUCUACCAUGCAUAUUUGUCUACAUUUACACUGUUGUGUGCCUCUCUCUUGUUAUAAUAAUGUUGUACGAAGUGAAUUUUUGUUUUUGUGUUGUAGGGACAUUUAUUCCUGUUUGUCAUAAGUUUUACUUAGUGUUAGUUCAAAUUAUAAGUUGUAGUUAUCUUUUUGACUAUGAGAUGCCCUUGUAAUUUUUGGUGGAUAAAAUUGGACAUUGACAUCUACAAUAGCUAUCUAGUGAUGCAAUGACAAUCAUAAUGCGCUUUCGUGAACAAAGAAAGAAGUUAUAAUUCCUGGUGUCUUUUUCUUAGUUUCUAAAGCCAAAUUCUUUUUGAGUAAUGGAGCCAUUGGAGAUGUUAGCUCUACCAGGGCUGUUCAAACAGCAACUGGUAUUCAAAGAACCAAAAUCUAUUCGCAAACUAGACAGGAGUUCGAAAACAACAUAAUAUGCAUGACACUAUUGCUGCUCAUCAAGCUUUUCAUUUCAUGUACUUGCAGGAUUAUAAAAAAUAUAUAUUGAACAACUAUACCAGCAACAUGAGUUGCAGCAACUUGACGUGAUUUAGACAAAGUAUACGUGUGGAAUGAAAGCAUUAGAUAAAUCCGGCUUGCAACCAGUUUUGUUCAUCUGUGGAUAAAUGCUGGAUGCAUCAAUUGAGAAGAAAGGUAUUGCCUUAUGCAACUUUAAAUGGAAUCUCAGAAACUGUUGACGCCUCAACACACCUCUUGAUUACCAGACCAUUGCUUGGAAAUUUGGUUCGUUUCGACAGCUGAACCUGGGGUUUAUAUAAACCAUUUUUGAACUUCAUUGCCUGAAAAUUUAAGAUCGAAUGUAGAGCGCUAAGAAAAAAGAUUUAACCCAAAACAAAAGGAAAAAAAAUUCACACCCUAAAAACUACAACAUAGACCCCAGAGACGCACAACAAAAUAUUGCUAAAUUUGAAUUGAACACAAAACGCAGAUAUAUGACCAGAAAAUGCAAAGAUAUCAUUCAACAUUUAAUGGAUUUACAUACUUUCGCUCCUCGUUAAGAUCAGUGUGAUCAACCUCUCCUCUUUGAGCUUCAUGAUCACCAACGUCGACGACGUUAGCACGAUGAUCAUCAUCAAGUACCAUGAAAUCUCAUAACCGAGGCCUCUUACCAAGACUAGUCUCUAAUGCUGAAGGCAAGGAAAGCAAUUCGUUGUCUUGGUGUUGAUCAUCAUGAAUAUCAUCAUCCACUACCAUCGUAUCAGGCAACAACCACUGCCUUUGCCCACGAUCAACUGUGACAUCAGCAACCUCGUGGCCUAAUAAGUGGACCCCGCAGAGGAUUUUAAAGGGUGUGGGCAUUCUAUAGAACUCAAAUAUAAUUUGACACAUAUUACCCUGCUGCAAUCGCGUCAGUUCUUCCCCCACACCUAACUCGCUCAGAUUCAAUAAUGGAAUACACUUAAGAGCCACAUGACUUUCCUCUAUCUUUUUUUAUUUAUUUUUUUUUUAUCGGAAUACGAACAUAUGUGUCGGUUGGACCAUUUUUCUAUUGAUAUGAACACGUGACUACCUCGACUCUAUCAAUAUCAAUUGGACCAUAUGACUUUCCUUUAUUAACAACACAUAGAACCAAUCUUAACGUCUCCCAAUCCAAAUUUGGAGGAAUUUCAAAACAAACUUCACAUCGAGCUAUAACAAAUUCCUCUUUAAGUAGCGUUCCAUCUUUACAACAGCUGAACUACUUUGGUACUUCAUCACCUGAAAGAGUAAUUGUAAAUUCAGAAUAGGGAUGAGAAGAUACCUACAAUACAAUUGGUUACAAGAAUUAUCAUCUUAACCAUAUAACAUAGAGGGAGAGACAAAGAGAGACAUAGAGAAAGAAGAUGAAAGGACCCGACCCAAAUUCCACCUUGGAAUCUGAAGCGAACCCUGUGUGUGUCCUACACCUGACGGGUGCCUGGCACAAAUGACCAAAAAGCUCUUUUAUACCAAACCCAAAGACUCUAACUCGUGGCUGCAUCUUAUAACCUUAGCCUGUUUACGUACCUUUACUGAGAGAUCAAGCCACACAUAGUUCUUCCCUCUACUCAUAUCAGGCACACACUGAAUAUAAGUAUGUCAUAUUCUGAACUCCCUUAUUUUAGUUUAAGAAUAUCUCAAAACUGCAAUUCUCUCCACCCAAGUAUACCUCUAAUCCUGAUUCGGCAACUCCAUUAAUACUGUCAAUUCCCUCCUCGCAGGCCAGGCCACAAUCCUCUUAGGCCUCGGAGAUACCACUUCUAUCUGGGCCGCAACCUAUAACUAACUAUCUAUUCUCGCAGGCCGAGCCGCAAUCCUCUCAGACCUAGGAGAUACCGCUUCUAUCCAGGCUGCAUCCUAUAACUAACUAUCUAUCAUCGCAAGCCGAGCUGCAAUCCUCGCAGACCUCGGAGAUACCUCUUCUAUCCAGGCCGCAACCUAUAAAUAACUAUUUAUUCAACCUAUAACCUAAUUUAGAUAAUUCCUUUCGGUCAGAACUCGUUUACUAUAAACCUAGCCCUCGGGUUGGCGUUUCUGGAGUGUUCGGGACUUCGUUUUACAAUCCGUCGAAUCUUAUACGAUCCUGGCACUAUCUAGAUCAAUAUAUUUGAAAAUGACUACGAUCCAACAGCUCAAACAUGCUGAACCCAGAAAUCACACACUAGGCUAGAUCUGUUCGGAGUUCAAACGUUAUCCGAAUUAAGAUCCACGAAAUCCUAUGCAUUCGUGAAGACCAAUGGAUCAUUCUAGAACUGAAUGUGGUCCCUACCCUGCAGCCCACACGCCACCACACGCGCUGACAGCGCGUGGGUGGCUUGAUCAAUUUCGAUGACCAAAAAACUAUGCAAUCGUAAGCCCAACUUCCUAUCCUAGGUUCAUAACAUGAUUUGGAGACACUUUUGUUCUUGGACCUACCCCAAAAGUUGGUCGAAAGUGGCCGGAAUUGCGAUCCCAAAAUCGGCCAAACCCAAACUUGAAAAUCAACCUGUCAAACCUAGUAAAAUUACUCAAAUCCUACCCAACUAUCAGCUAGAGCACGAAAAAUAGCUAGAAAUCAAUACCUUGCACGAUAAAGUUGGUGGCCAUACGAGAGAGAUCGAAGCCGUGAAAAAUCGAACUCAAAACCGGUCGAUUUCGAGCUGAUUCCGGCGACUAGCAUGGGGGUUGCUGGCGGGGAUGAGCUGGGUGUGCAACGGAGGUGACGUCAAUCCUUUCUGGACCGGUCCAAUGGCGGACCGGGGCCAGUGGUGGUGGUUCUGGUGGUGAAGGGCUGCAGGAAGAAAAACCAGAGGGAGAGGGGGCUGUCGCGAGGAGAGAGAAGAGAGAGUUUAAAAACAAAAAUCCGGUUUUCCAAAUUACAAUUUUGCCCCUCAGUGUAUUUUGGCCGUAUUUUCUUCGUUACAACUCCAAUUCAAGCCCACUACGUGUCUACAAACUCGUACCCCCAUGCUCUACGCAACAGUACAAUUGAAAUUCUCAAAUUCCUUCUCGGUCAAAAAGUCAACUUUUAAACCUAAUAAAAGGUUCGGAGGGUAUUUUAGUCCUUUCUUUGAAUAAAAUAAUAAUUAAGAAUUAAUUAAGGAACAGGUUGUUACAGAAGAGACAGAAACCUGAUCCAGAAUACAAUGUGAUGUCAUAGCCACGUAGUCUAAUGCAAUUUAUCAAAUGCAGAUACUCAACCUCCGAUGAUAGUGGUAGUUUUGGAAUUUUCUCCAAUGAUGUGCAGUUAUCCGGUAAUACCGCAUAUACUCUUGGUGGAAGCACUUCUUGUGGAAUUUCUAGAAGACUCUUGCAAUCAUGCAAGUCAAGCUGGUCCAAGCUCACAAAUUUGCUAAUGCAUUCCAGAAUCGUGACAAAAUUGUUUCCAGAUAGAUCACGAUAUCGUAAUGUGGACCAGAAAUAUAGCAGCCGUAAUUCAAGCCCAGUAAGAUUGAAGCAUCUCUUAAGAAUCAAAUCUAGAAGCCCAGUAAGAUAUGCAAUUGAUAGAGGCAAUUCUCUUAUGCCACUUCCUGCCAUAUUCAAUUUCCAUAGUGAUUCCAUCUCGAUUUCUAUUUUUGGGAAACUCUUAAGCCUUUUGCAAUGUAAGUGUUGUUGCAAACCUCGUAAGCUUAACGCAUCUACUAAGAUUCAAUUGAACAAGUUUAUCAAGGAGUCCAACAGAAUCAUCAAUCUCAACCAAACGUCUACAGCCACUUAGAAUCAAGUAUUUUAUGUUUGGGAUUCCGGAUAAGUCUGAGAUUUUUUCUAAGAAUUGACAACCACUUAAAUCCAUGGAUGUCGGGUUUGACAAAUGCUGUGAGACAAGAACACAAAAACAGAAAAUAAUUAAUCACAAGCUUCAAAAGACAAAAACUUAGAAAACAAUUUUUGUUUUUUUCCUUCUAAAAUUAACAACUCUAUUUGAAAUUAUACAUAAUAGAUGAAAAUAAUUUCAAAUACAUACCUUAAAUCCCUCCAAGUGUCUAAUAUGAUUGCCAAGCAUAUUGAACACAACCAGACGAUUUCCUUGAAAAUUGGGUGGCAAAGAUUGUAACUGACAACUAGGCCAAUCAAUAAAUCUUAACGUGUUGGGCAGAUAGUUAAUGUCCCCAUGUAGAGAUGCAUUAUGGUUUAUGAAAAUUUGAAGAUUUACCAUAUUACGGAAGCAUUCUGGAUACAAAAUUAUCUCAGCUGGUUUUGGAAGCUUCACCAUGAUGCCUUUAAUAUUUCUUGUUCCCUAAGAUGGAAAAGCACUAAUUAGGAAACGAAGUCAUUGUACAAAUCAAAAUGCAAGCACAUUUUGUUAAGAAAAUUAAGGUAACAUAAGGUAUUAUUUCUUGUCAAAUUGAAUAUAAUAACAUAUGUGAUACUUACUGUACUUUUCAUUAGAACUUGUUUGACAUCCUCGUAAAACCACAAUCUACUACGCUGGCCAGGAUCAUUGGGGGAUUCUUUGUGAACUAUAUCCUUGCCCAUGUUUGCUAGCAAUUCGUGCAUUAAAAUCCUACUCCCUUCAAUAGUUAUCAUUGCCUUAUCAACGAAUUCUUCAAUGAAUUUUUUGGGUACUAUUUGUAGCACAUAGUCCUCAUAUUCACCCUUGAAGAAACAUGCAAUGUCGAGAAAAUAUUCUUUUGCGCGAUGAUCCAAGGCAUCAUAACUUUUUUGAAGUAUUCUUUCAAUAUGUGUAAAGGUUCUCCUUCGUAACCAUGUAAUAUAACUUGCCAACGUCGUAUAUCUAUACCACGAAGAUAAGAACCUAAAAUUGCUAGGGCUAGUGGAAGGCCAUCAACCAAAGCUAUUGCACAUUGUGCGAGUUCCAAAUUAUCUUCUCAAGGUUCACUUCUUCGGAAUGCAUGCCAACUGAAAAGCUCAAGAGCUUGGUUGUAGUCUAACUUCUUCACCUGGUAUAUCAACUCAAUUUCAGGAUUGUCUAGCAUUCUCCUAUUUUUUGUAGUAAUGAUUACUCUACUACCACUACAAGGAAAAACCCUUUUGGCGACCACCGGUUUUGGUCGCUAAAAGCUGUCAAUUCGUCGCCAAAAGCCUUUAGCGACGAAAGAAUUUCGUCGCUAGCUUGGUCGCCUAAGGCUCGUGGCUGAAAGUAAAAGUGACAAAAGGUGACGAAAAAAAAUUUUCGUCGCCAAAACCUUUAUGCGACCAAUUGGUUUCGUCGCCUUUCACUAAUUAGUUCGUCGCCUAUAAAGACAGGUUCCCGCAAAAAUACCAAAAUUUGCCGCGAACUGAAGAAGGAUUAGGCGACCAAUAGAUUGGUUGGUCGCCGAUAGUUUUUGGUGACUACCAGAUUUGGUCGCUAAAGCUCGCACAGUUGGUCGCUAAAAUAUGUAUAUUUUGUGUUUUUAUUUAUUUUAUUUAUAUUAUGUUUUGUGAUAAUUUAACCUUUUGUGCAUUAACAUAUUGUAAUUUCGAAAAACAAUAAAUUUAGAUCAAUAGAUCAAUAGGAAAUUACAUGAAUACAAAUUUCUCUCAUUCAAAAGUACACAAGUGUACUAGUCAUUCAAGUACACAUAACAUAUCCAAAUUCCACUGAAAGACUGGAGGCCAAGCUCCAUAUAUUCUUGCCCUUGGUAAACCCAAGUUCUGCAAUCAUUAUUUCCCCACUCUAAGACUAUUACCAAGCUUGUAUACUAUUUUGAACAAAACAAAAUACAUGUAUACUAUGCCUUUUGUAUCCUCAAGUUUUGUAGUCAUGAUCUUUAACACCUGUGGGAUAGGGGCUGUGAUCUAAUAUCGUGGAAUUCCCAAACACUCCCAAUUGUUUGCUUGACCUUCUCAAACUCAUCAUCUUCCUUUACAAAAGAAACAAAAUAAGGAAAUAUGCUCAAGAAGAUGCCAAAACCAAGAAAAUUAAAAUUAACAUAUAUAUAUAUAUAUAUAGAGAGAGAGAGAGAGACCAAAACUGAAAUUCACAAUCUUAACUAAAUAAGCCAUCAAAAAAGAGUUCGACAUAAGAAAACUGAUUGCUGGUCUUCAAUAAACCAACUUUAAAAAAUUGAAUUCAUUUUUCAUAGCUCUCAAUAUCGAUUGUCAAAGCAUACCUUUGUGAUAAUAACAGAAAUCAAAUCAUCAAUUACCACAAAUAAAGAAGGGAAACAGUUACGAAAAACCAAUGUAAAGACUAAUAUUAUGCAUGGCACAAACCCAUUAGAUAACAUAAAUCAUAAAAUCCAAAGUAUAAUCCACACCUUAAAUGGAACCAAGUGUAAUAGGAAGAAGAGGUUCUUACCUCAAAUGGUCCUCUGUCCAAAACCCCAAACCAAAUCCUUCCACCUCAAAUAAAUUUGACAUGGAAAAACAGGAUACUACCCCGGUAAAGUUAAAGACACCUAAAUGACAUUGUUCUAAACACAUUAUAAGAUAAAGCGAACUGAAGGGUAGAUGGUCUGGGGGCAGAGAGUGGAAAAUAACUCAAGCCAUCAGAAAGUUUUGGGGAAAGAGAGUGGGUAUGCUUAAAUGAGUACAUAGAGGUUACAGAGCUUUUUCUCACAAAGGAAGCAUCUCAUAUUCUAUUCAACCUAUUUAGUGAACUAAUAACAAUAAUAACAAUAGUGCAGAAGUCCUUGGCAGAGCUAUGCAGGUAUUUUGAUUUAGGACCAGCUUUAAUUUAAAAUAUAAUUCUUUCUAGUGUUAAAAAUUAAUAAAAACACAAAGACAAUGAUAUAUCUAAUUUCUCAAACAGAAAAAUUAUGAUGUGGACCAAAGGGGCAUCAGCAAGGUAAAAUGAAAACAAGCUGCAAUACCCAAGCACCUUAAGACUUAAUUGCACUUCCUAGAAAGAAAGAACUCUAACCCACCUGUAAUGCCAAUGGCAUAUCAUUUGAAAGUUAAAGCACAAAACACUACCUUAUCAAUCUAAAUCACUAUAAUCAUCACUGUGAUUACUAGAUUGCCAUCAUGUUGUAAUCAAUCACAACCUUAACCGGAAGACCUCAGUGCCUAACAAGAUUUCUUCUUCUUAUUAUAGUUCAUCUUGCACAUUACAAACACAAAAAUAGGAGCACCAUACUACACUGAAAUAAAGAGAAAAAGAUCAACCUUGUUUAUCUUCAACUACACACUGUUUAGCUAACAGUUUCAAUUGGAUAAUGGGAACAAAAUUUUAAGCAAAAAUGAGAUAUACCUCUUUUCGUUAAUGAAUAUAACUCUUAAAAAUCAGUUUAGAAGUCACUCUCCUUCACUCCCUUUUCCAAAUCAAGGUCCAAGAAAUUAAUAUAGGUAUUUGCAGUCAUCAAAUAAGUUCAUGUGUAUAACAGAUUCCUAGAAACUUAUUGCUUCAAAUGAGAAUUUGGUUUGGUUUCAAACAACAGAAAGCAAUUCCUUAUAGCUAAAUCUUCUAGCAAAAUCAAAAUGGCUACUGCUACAUCAAACCAGAGAAAAAUAGAAAAUCCAAAUCAAAUAGGCAAUGUAUGUUUUUAAAUAGCUCCUCAACUUGAUUGCCAAUUCACAAUCUCCAUUAGCCAAAAAUGAGAGAAAAAUUUCAUCUCAGAUGUUUGAAAAUCAGAUACGCAAGUUCCUAGUCAUGUUAGACCCACUUCAACUUCAAAAUCCUAGUCAUGUUAGAAAAACUUUCCCAAAGGACAUACGUAUAAUGUAUAACAGCAACCUUUAGAAUACUCGCUUCUUCUCGGUUGAAAUUUAAACACUAGCAAAAAGAUCUUUUAAAAUGGAAACAGGGAAUACAAAAUUACAUCAAUAACAUAUACUUAUUCACAGUACAUAACCAAAUAUCUCUUGCAGACUAGAGACCUUAUCAAUUUAAGUGAAUUCAUUGAAGUCCUCCGAUAUAUGAAAAGAGAAGGAAAAAAAAAUUAUAAUGCAGGGUCUUUAAAAGUUAAGUUUCAAAAGAAUAUGAGCCAAACAAGAAUUUUUAAAAGGCACAAGAAAGAAAUAAAAUGGUGGCACAAUUUUUUAUUUCUAAUAAAGAGAGGGAAAACAAAGGAUGCUGAAACCUACCAUCUACAACAAUAGAUUCACAGCCUAGCGUUGGUCUCUUGGUUGUCUGAUGGGGCCUUCAAGUCUUUAAUAGCUACAAUUAUCCAUAAUGGAAAAUUCUCAAAUGGCAGUGCUCAAUCAAGGUUGCUUCUCUUUUAUUUGUUCUCACAGUUUACAUAAAUAAAAUAUAAAAAGACCUUAAGAAUUAAGUUCUUGAAUGAAAGCUUAACAAAGAAAUCUGAAAAAUGCUGAAUCACUGCAAGAUCCAGCAAAGAAACAAAGCAUCAAUUACAAAACACCACCAGGCAACGCAAGCACAAGAAAUCUUCAUAAUAAUAAUAUAUAAAAAAGGUAAAUCUUAACAUUUCCAUGAUUCCAAACUCGUAACUCAAAAUAUUCAGAGAAGUUUUAAUACCUAACAUAGAGACAGCAGAUGAGAAGUGGUUGAGGGGUGGUCGACCACAUCGUUACUAAGACAAAAACCAACUAAAUUUUAUUUUUACAGAAUCAAAAUCAAAUAAUUACAGAAAAAUAGCUAAAUAAACAAAAAAUAAUAAAAGCACCUUUGAAUCAGAGUUGGUAUGUGGCUGAGCACAUUGCAGAGAAUCUCUAGUAUAUGUUGUUGUAGCAGCAAGUGGUUGGCAUCGAUGAAGGGUGAUUUUGGGAAAGAGAGUGAGAAAUAAGGACCAUGAGAAAUCUGAAGGGGGAUGAAGAGAUAGUGGGUAUAUAAGUGAUUGGCCGGCAUCGUUGGAAGAUUUCAUUGCGAGCGUUCGUGGAGGACUUAGUUGAAGGCAUCGGUGGUGUGGAAGACGGUGGAGAGAGUGGAUACGAGAGAAGUAAAUUGGGGGAAGUAACGGGUUAGGGAAAUUUUUUUAAUUUAUAGUCUCCCAGAAUCAGCCACCAAGCUAUUUGGUUGCCAACAUGUCAAAUAAGGAAAACGACACAGUUUUAAUACUUUAUAUUCUUUUUUACAGGAACAGCGACCAAAAAAAUUGGUCGCCAAGUUUCAAGAAAUAUUUGGGCGGUAUCUCACAAAAUAUUUUCGCGGCAUCUCAAAUUUAGAGACGACGCAAGCAACUUUAGAGACGACAUAAUUUAGUCGCCAAUAAUUUUCAAGCUUAAAGGCGACCAAUCUUGUGAUUGGUCGCCAAUUCCUCCCCUAGCGACCAAAUCUUUUGGUAGCCAUUCGGACAUAUUUUCUGGUCAAUUAGUUAAUAAAUUUGACGAAAUUAUUGGCGACGAAAUAAAAAACUUUGUCUCCCAUAACCUUGCUUGGCGACCAAAUUUGAGUUGGUCACAAAAGAUUUCGUGGCGAAAGAGGUUUUUUCUUGUAGUGUACCCGCACCAAACCAAUCAUCUCCAGCGAAUUUGUCUAACUGCUCUAAUUCAUUCACAUCGUCAAGAAUUAAUAGAAUCUUUUUAUGACUCAAACGUUCUUUUAUAACACCAAUUCCUUCAUCAACACUCCGAAUUCAACAAGAUUUUGCGCGACGAAUACAAGUUCGUUGGGCAAAAUGCACUACAGCGACAGAAAAAAAGUUUCGUCGCACAAAAUAUUGAAAACUUGCGCGACCAAAUUUUUCGAAGCGCAAAACCUCUUAGCGCAACAGAAAUUUAACCUCGUCGCGCAAAGUGAGGGAAAAAAAACCCGAGUUUUUUGUUGGCACCAAACACUUGCGCGGCAAGAAGAAUCGUCGCAUAAGAAAACCUAGCGCGACGAUGGGACACUUCGUCGCGUAAAGGUGAACACAAAACAGUGGAUCCCGUUAAUUGGCUGCGAAAACUUGUGCGGCGACAGGUUUCGUCGCAAAAGACAGCUUAGCACGACGAAAUCGUUUAUUGUCGCGUAAGAAAACGAGGGAUAUUUUUUUUUGGCGCCAAAAUAAUUGAGGGGGAUUUUUUUUUUUUUGCGUGACGGAAGUAGUUUUCAUCGCGUAAAGUUUGAUGUCGGUACAUUCUUGAGCGACGGAAUGUUGUUUUUGCGCGACAAUAAUUAGAAUUUGCGUGACGAAAGUUUGUGCAACAAAAAUGUCAUGCGUGGCGCAAAAGUUUGAUGUUGACAAGUGCUUGCGGGCCGAAAAAAAUCAUUUUGUGCGACGGAAAAAUGGUUUUUCGCGACUACAGUUUGCGUGACGAAAUCAAUGGUUCAUCACGCAAAGUCCUUCUUCUUCAUAUUAGAAUUCUGCCAUUGCAGAGGUAGAAUGCAAAAAAUAUAGCAUUCUGCCUCUCUCUCAACCUCUCUGCCACUGCCUCUGCUGGGAAUUCAGUACGUUCAUUGGGUAACUAUUUUUUGUCGUUAGUUUAAAAGUAUUAAUGUAAAUUCGUACUAACGCUAUUAAUUUUGUUCUCGUUAGGGAUAUUUGUAAUUAGUGAUUGGUAAAGAACGAUUGAGAAGGUAUUUUAUUCGUUUUAUAUAUUAAAAAUGUUAAAGUUAGUUUGUUAUGUUUAUAUAUUUUUUUUUGUGAAGUUAUAUUUAUAUUAUUCUGUUAAAUUGUGCGUGACGUAGCACAAUGUGUUGUGAUGUAGGAAGUUAAUUGAAAUUAACUUUGUACUUUUAUUUGUAUAUUUAGUAACACUUAGUUUCCCGUUUGAGAUUAGUUGGAUUUCGUACAUGGAUGCGUAAAGCAUGACUGCGGUCUAAUUAAUUCUUGAAUUGUCCCAGUAUUUGGACAGUUUGGUAAUGCAUAAUAUUGUCACGUAAUCUACGGCUACAUGAUUAGGUUUCGAUUGUGGAGAUUUCGGUGUCAUCUCGGUACGUUCUUCGGGUGGUACGUAGGUAUUUAUAACUAUGCCCCCCUCAAGAACUGUAUCGAGAGGUUGCCGAAAUUCAUCCAUGUCGAAAUCUAAUCUCAUGUAGCCGUAGGUUACGUGACAGGACUAUGCAUUCCCGAAUGGGAUAGGGCCCUUACCGGAGGCAUAAGGUGACAUUAUAACUUCGUAUGAAGUUGUUGUGAUUGUUGUGUUGUGAUUGUGGUUUUAGGAAUUAUGAGCAGAAGGUGGAUACAGAACCCGAAUAGAUGCGCAGACGAAUACUUGGAUGAAAUCGAGGAUUUUAUUGAGUUUGAACGUAGACACAACCAGGGUGCAACUAGAAUCCGUUGUCCUUGUAGGAGGUGUAAUAACACGUUGUGGGAGACAAUUGAAAAUGUUGGAUUUCAUUUAGUAAGGAAUGGAAUGAUUGUGACAUAUAGCAUUUGGAACCUUCAUGGGGAACAAUUAGACCAUGCUUCGUCUUCAAAUGCCACAAGAAUGGACAAUGUUGAACCUAUUGUGGAUCCUAAUGAUCAAGUCAUGGAUAUUAUACAGAAUGCUUUUCCAUUUGCAUCGACCAACAUCAAUCUUGAAAGGGAAGAUGACGUACCUACACCAAUAGACAGUGCGGAGUUUGAACAAUAUGAAAAACUAUUAAAAAAUGCCAACCAAGAGUUAUACCCAGGGUGCAAGAGCUUUUUUGUUCUCACGGCCAUUGUAGAGCUAAUGCAUGGAAAAAUAAAGUAUCGUAUGUCACACUUGUGUUUCGAUUACUUUUAGGGACUUUUCAAGAGAAUGCUUCCGACGGACAAUUGUUUGCUGAAAGACCAUAAACACGCGCAGAAGGUGUUGAAUGGUCUUGGAUUGGGUUAUGAAAAAAUUCAUGCUUGCAAAAAUAAUUGCAUGUUAUUUUACAAGGAGCAUGAAACGUUGGAUACAUGCCCUAUAUGCAAUGAUCGAGGUUCAAAAUGACAUCUCAGAAUAGAAUGACUAAGAUCCCACAAAAAGUCAUGCGUUAUCUGCUCCUAAAACCUAGGUUGCAGCGAUUGUAUACGUCGACGCAUACUGCCACAUACAUGAGAUGGCAUAAGAAAAAACGGGUAGACGAUGAUGUGAUGCGGCAUCCUGCAGAUAGGAAGGCAUGGAAAGAGUUCGAUCGAACGUUCCCCGAGUUUGCUGCUGAUCCCCAAAAUGUGAGAUUGGGACUUUCAACUGACGGAUUCAAUCAGUAUGGGGUUCUAAACCAACACCACAGCACUUGGCCGAUUCGUAUUCUCAUAUAAUUUGCCGCCUUGGAAAUGCAUGAAAAAAGAAUACAUGAUGAUGACUGUUUUGAUAACUGAGGAUCCUGGGAGGUCAAUCGAUGUUUACUUAAGGCUGCUAGUUGAUGAGCUGAAGGAUUUAUGGACAAACGGUGUUCGCACGUACGAUAAAUCAACUGAGAAGAUGUUCACUUUUCAGGCAGCAGUUAUGUGGACUGUGAAUGAUUUUUCAGCAUAUGCAAUGGUUUUUGGGUGGAGCGCAAAGGGUUAUAUGACAGUCCUGUAUGCAAGGAAGAUGUAACUUCUGGUCGGCACGAGGGAAAAGUUUGUUACCUUGCUCAUCGAAGAUGGUUGCCAUGGGACCACGAGUGGCGGGAAAAAGAUAAAGAGUUCGACAGGAACACAGAGCGUCGCCUCGGACCUAGAGAAUGUUCUGGUGAUGAGAUCUUGGAACAGAUUAACUGUUUGGAUUUUGCUCCGUUUCAGAAAAACAGUUAGUCGGACCAGACCUUCUACACAUAUGAACUGGACGCACAAGCCUAUGUUUUUUGAGCUCCCAUAUUGGUUGAAACUCAAAUUGAGGCAUAAUCUAGAUGUAAUGCAUGUUGAGAAAAAUGUAUUCGACACAUUGGUGGACACAAUUCUAGAUAUCGAGGGCAAGACAAAGGACACAAUCAAAGCCCGUCUUGAUUUGGAAAGAAUGGGCACACGAAGGGGUUUAUGGAUGAACAAGGACAGUGAUAAGGCUAGAAGGGAUCUCGCAUUCUUUUCUAUGAAAUUGAAUGACAAAAAAGAGUUUCUAAAGUUUGUAUCGUCUGUAAAGUUUCCUGAUGGGUAUGCUUCUAAUAUCGCACGUUGCGUGAAUGUUGACGGGGGUAAAUUUACUGGACUGAAGAGCCAUGACUGCCAUGUGUAUAUGCAACGCCUACUUCCUGUGGGUAUUCGACAUCUAUUGCCGGAAGAUGUUGUGAAGCCAAUCAUGUUGUUGUCUAGAUUUUUUUCCCAACUGACGACAAAAGCAUUGCGAAAGACAGACAUGUUUCAGUUGCGCCAUGACAUUGUCCAAGUCCUAUGCAAGUUUGAGAUGAUAUUUCCUCCAGCUUUCUUCACAAGUAUGAUGCACGUGAUGGUUCACUUGCCAGAAGAGGCAUUGCUUGCUGGUUCUGGCAACUAUCGCUGGAUGUAUCCAAUAGAAAGCUAUAUAAUCCUUAUCGUUUGUGUAUGCAUCAUUAUCACAGGCUUGCUAAUUUGUAUCAUAUUGUUUUAUUUUGACAGGCUUCUUGGAGAGCUGAAGAAAAGUGUACGCAACAGGGCGAAGCCCGAAGGAUCAAUUAUAGAGGCUUGGGUUCAAUAUGAGUCGCUUACUUUCUGUGGAAUGUAUUUAAAGAUGUGGAGACGGUUUUCAAUUGUCCUCAGUGCAAUAAUGACGGAGGUAUGAGAAAGGAAAAACUUUCUGUUUUUGCCCAAAGCGCACGACCCUUUGGAGAUCCUGGACGAGGAGAGUCGUUUUCUAGAAAUGACAUGGAGGUAGCGCAUUGGUUCGUACUGAACAAUUGUGAUGAGAUAAUGGCAUACUUAGAUGAGCUUUGGAUUCUGUAAGUUAUAAGUGUUUUUGUAUUUGACAAAUAUAAAUUGUAGUAUUUAAUUUUGUCAGACUAACAUGUGAAUAGUUUUGUAUUAUAUUAGGUGAAUAAGUUGAAAUCAUCGAAUUCCCCCACUUACAGUGAUGAGUUAUAUAACUUGGCAUUCGGCCCGAUUCGCGCUGAAUUAUUUUCGGGUUGUUAUAUUAACGGGGUCAAAUUUUUAGGGGCUGAACGAGAUGACAAGUUGUGUACGCAAGACAGCGGUGUCCAUGUCCAAGGUGGAGGCUAAAGUACGAACAUUGAUUUCUAUGGCAAACUCACAACUAUCGUUCAAUUGCUUUACAAAGAUCGAUACCAAGUGAUCAUGUUUAAGUGUCGAUGGUUUGAUAGCAACCCAAAUAGGCCGGGAAGUGUUAAAAUCGAUCAUGGCUUACUAUCUGUGAACAUUAACAUAACUUGGUAUGAUGACGACCCUUACAUUUUGGCAAACAUGGCAACACAAAUUGUGUAUCUAGAUGACCCUAAAGCCGGGAGCAGUUGGAAAGUUGUUCAGAAGAUGCAUCAUAGGAACGUGUAUGCUAUACCAGAACUACACCCAACUGACAACGACGUCGACAAUGUGGCUGACCAAUGUUUAGAAUCUUCAAUGGAAAAUCAUACGGAAACACUUCGAGAUAUACAUGUUAUACAAGAACCGUUUCAAAUACAAGGAGCGUCUUCCAUCGAAAUACCGAUUCAGUCAAUUACAAUUGACCUCGGUGAUCUUCCGAGAUUCGAUGUUGCAGUGGGCCCAAGCAACGAUGAUGAUGUAGUUAUAGAGGAGGAGGAGGAGGAUUGGGAGACCGAAAGUGAUGAUAGCGAUGAUAACGAAAGUUAUUAUAGUUCAUAUGAUGAAUAAUGAAUUUUUUUGUAAUUUUACUAUGCUAGUGUACAGAUUUUGUGUAAUACAAAUGUUUGAAUAUAUGUAGUUGUUAUAUCCAAACCUUAUAUAUGGGGAGAAAUGAAACAUUAUUAAAAUAAAUUUAGUUAUAAAACAUUGGUAAAUCAAUAUAUCCAAACCCUUUUAAUAAUAAAUUUUAAAUUUAUUUUGACAAAACACUUUUAAAAAAAAUGAAAAUGAUAAACAAUCUAACCUAAGGGGGUUGUAUUCAAUUCUAACUUUGAUUGACUUUUCAUGAGUUUUUGAAAGUUUAUCACUUCACUUUAUAAAAGAAAAAGAACAAGAGCGAGUUAGGUCAACGCAACAACAACCGCGUGAGACAUUAUUAAAUAAAUUGACAUACACAAAAAAAUGAAAAAUGAAAAAAAAAAUUUGUUAUACAACAUUGAUAAAUAAAUAUAUCCAAACCCUUUUCAUACAAAGUUUGAAAAUUAUUGACACAAAACAUUUUUUAAAAAUGAAAAUGAUACACAAUUUGACCUAAAUAAGUAAAUGGCGAGAAAUCCUUGCGUGACGAAUUAAUCCUCGUCGCGCAUAGUUUGGGCAGCCCACAAUACACUCAUCGCGUAAAAUUAAAAUAUUGCGCGACAACCUAACAUCCGUCACGCAAUGAAAUUUUGCACGACGACAGGAUAUCUCUCGUCGCGCAAAUAUAUAUUAUUUUAUAAUAUAAUAUAUAUACACAUAUAUAUUUGAAAUUGACGAUCGAGUUAGUUCAUUGUAUUCAUAUAGGGUCAAGGAGUGUAGUUGUAAAAAAUCAUCAAAAUCGGAAUUAAAAUAACCGUUAAAUCAUGACUUUUCAUUUAUAACCGUUGAAAAGUUUUGUCCCGUUACUUGAUCUCUGAAUGUUUUUUUUUUUUUCGAUUUUUGGGGUCUAAGAUCUCGAAGUAUAAAUAAACAAGUUUGACGGCUGGAUUACUGAAACUAGUUUGGUAGAAUGCGUAUGCCAUCAAAACCAUAUAUUCACUAACAAUGAAGAGUUUAUUUAUACUUUCGUUAAAUAUAACAUAAGAUUAUGUGGUAUCCCCCUAGUGUAAACAUCUUAAAUUGAAGAUCAAAUUCAGUAAUUGUAUUCAUAUAGGGUCAAGAAAUGUAGCUGUAAAAAACCAUCAAAAUCGAAGUUAAAAUAACCGUUAAAUCAUGACUUUUCAUUUAGAACCGUCGAAAAGUUUUGUCCCGUUACUUGAUCUCUUAAUGUUUGUUUUUCCAAUUUUCGGCGUAUACGAUCUCGAAGUAUAAAAAAAUAAGUUUGCCGGUUGGAUCAUUGAAACUAGUUUCGGGUUUAGGGUUUAGGGUUUAGGGUUUGCGCGACGAAUAACGUUGAUUCGUCGCACAAAGUGUGCAGAAAACAGUCUUGGGCAACGAAAUUAUUGCUUCGUCAUCCCGCAAUCUCAGUCAGACCUUUCACCCUCUUCCUCCUUCAACACUUGGUCCAAAUUUUUUGUGAGUGUACAGAAAGCAGACUUGCGCGACGCUGUCCCAUAUUCAUCGCACAAUCUCUCCUGCCCCAAUAAACCCUAAACCCCAAAUUUUGGCGGAAUUACAACAUUGCAUGACGCUGUCCCAUAUUCGUCGCGCAAUCUCGGCAGACCUUUCACCUUUUCUCUCUCCCUCAAUAAACCCUAAACCCCAAAUUUUGGCGGAAUUACAACUUUGCGCGACGCUGUCCCGUAUUUGUCGCACAAUCUCGACCGACCUUUCACACCUAAUAAACCCUAAACCUCAAAUUUUGGAGGAAUUACAACAUUGCGCGACGAAUACGGGACAGCGUCGCGCAAAGUUUUCACUUUUCUCUCUCCUGCUAAACGCUAAAUCCCAAAAUUUUGGCUGAAUGACAACCUUGGGCGACGAAAUACAUAUCUAUGCGUCGCGCAAAACCGCGUAACCCUGCCCUGAUACCAAAUUUUGGCUAACUCACAACAUUGCGCGACGGAAAUUAUACGUCCUUCGUCGCGCAAGAGUCAUUUAAAAUAUUUUGCGUGAACUUUUAUUUAUUCGUCACGCAAAAUCGAAUAAAAUUUCAGAAACAACGUGAAGGCCUCCUUCUUCCCCAGUUUCUGAUUUUUGCCCUAACUCUCUCUCUCUCUCUCUCUCUCUCUCUCUCUCUCUCUCUCUCUCUCUCUCUUUCCGCUGUCACCUCAGCCCCCUACCCCACUGGAAUUUGGACCGCACCGCCACAACCUUGGAACCUCGAAGCUUCCCCGCCGUCACCGUCGAGCCUGCCGCCGGAAUUUGCUCGGUUUUCACCGAAUCUUCGCCGCCCUCGUUCUUUCUCCUCCGGCGACCAAAUCUGACACCUGAGGUAUGGUUUCUGGACUAUUUUUGAUGCUUUAGCUGAUGGUUGGGUAGGAUUUCAUUAAUUCUUGUAAUAGGGCAAUCGAUUUUAAACCCUAAUUUUUGGCCGGUUUUUGAAUUUCAAUUCCGGCCACUUAUGACCAUUUUUCGGGGUAGGUCCGAGAACAAUAGUGCCUCCAAUUGAUGUUUUCAACCUAGGUAAGGAACCUUGGCCCUUAGUUUUUAGAAUUUUCUAGCAAUUGGUAUCACUUUGGACACCCACGUGCUGCCGGCGCGUGUGGUGGAGCGUAGGAUACAGUAGCAGUCGUUUAUUGGGUCCCAGUGCAAUCCCCUAGUUGGCACGAGCGCAUAGGUCUUUCGGAUUGGAAUUUGGUUACCGUUUGAGUCUCGAACGGAUUUUGCUUAUUGUGCGAUUUUUGGGUUUGUUAUGUUUGGACCUUUGGAUCGAACUCAAACUCACGUAUGGUGUACCUUGUAUUUCUAGGAUCGUCUAGGAUUUGACGGAUCGAGGAUCAGAGUCCCGGAUACUCUGAACUCGCAAACCCUAGGUCAAGAAUCUUAAUAAAAUUGUAUGUGCUUACAAAUAUUCGUAUAUUUUAUUAAUUUGUGUGUGUAUUAAUGAAAUUGUGCAGAUGUCAAAUUUGAUUAGACGUCGUAGGGCGGUGAUGACUACACAGAGUUCGGAGUCCCUGGCUCAGCCGACAUCUACUGCCAUUGCGCCAGCACUGAUGGACCACUUGGCAGUUUGUCCCGCGGGGUCCCAGGCACCUGCUUCAUCGGCUUCAUCAGUGGGGCAGUCUGUUAGAGCCAGGCGGCGUCAUUGGCCCGCUAGCACCACCGACACCACAUCGACUGAUGCGUCGGGGUCACAGCAAGGUAUAGAUUUCCUUAAACUCCAGUUCUUUUUAUUUUUGUUUUUGUUUUUUUGUGUGUAUUUUAUAGUUAAAUUUGUUAUUUAUUUAACAUUAAUGUCAUCUUUCUUUGCAGCCAAGAAGAACACCCGAGGGACGUAUCGGCAGUUGAAGACGGCGAAGGUCACUCAGGUGACCAACAGUCGUAUCAACAUCGGAUACAACAAGAGACAUCGGGCUACACCGAUGGUGGAGUUGCAUAGCUCCUUGGCCCACGACAUUGGUCAUGUUGUUCGGAGCCAUUGCCUGAUGAAAUGGAAGUCUUGGAAGGUCAUGCCUGACGAGAUCAAGACAGAGGUUCACGGCCAGUUGUCGGUAUGUAGGCCUUUUAAUUCUUUUUCUUUCAAACUUUAUAUUUCUAUUAUUUAAAUGUAUGUAAUUAAUUUAUUGCAGACGAACUACAACUUGGAGGACCUCAACGACGAGUCGUUGGUGUACGUCAAAAGACUCUUCUCUGAUAGGUACAAACAGUGGAAGAGCGACUUGCACCACUAUUUUGAGGUGUUUGAUGAUCCACAAGUCGCUCUUCAGGAGGGUUGCCCGAAGGAGCUUGAGGGGCGGAAGGAUAGUUGGGCGUGGCUCUGCACUCACUUUCAGACGCUCGCUUUUGUGGUAAUUUGUAAUAUGAAUUUCAAAUUUUUUAUAUUUCAUUUCAAUUUCAACUAAUACGUUUUAUUUUUUGUAUAACAGAAUAAAGCCAAAGUCAAUAAGGGCAAUAGGAAGAAGAAGACUCUUCUCCAUCAUUCAGGUUCCAGGGCCUUCUCCUAUAGGAUGGAUGCACGGCGGCAGGUAAUAAUAAAAUAAUUUUUAUUUAAUUUUUAAUAUUUAAUUAUUCUUAAUUUAUUUUUUCGUACUAAUAUUUUUCUUCUCUUGUUCAAUUUAGGGGGGGUCCAAAUUCCCAGAGAUCGACGUCUUUGGCAACGUUUAUGUUCGACCUGGGAAUGAGUUGGCCGAGUCCCUUCAUGUAAGUAUUAUUUAAUUUUAAUUCUUAUGUUACGCAUUCAAGUUUAAAGGUUAUUAUAUGAAUGUUUUAAUUUAUAUUUUAUGUUAUGCUAAACAGAUGACGAUGGUGGAGAGGAGCCAGUUGGUUCUUCAGGAGUCCGCCUCCCAACUUCCUCCCGAUACUCCCAUCGAGUCUGUGGAUCCUCCACAGGAUGCUGGAUUUCAGAUCUUGACGGAGACAUUGGAUCAGACUCUAGGGAGGAGACCGGGGACAUAUUGUCGAGGGAUGGGGAAUGCCAGGCAGAGGGAACCUAGACCCCGUUUAUCAACGCAGUCAAACAGUUAGGUCACUACUUUGAUAGCACAGGUGGCCACUCUUCAGAGUCAGAUGUCGGUCAUUCUGUAGUCCCUCGCACAGUCCGGCAUUCCAGUCCCGCAUUUUGAUGCACCGACCUCCAAGCCCGUCCAUCCCGAGCAUCCCCACCAAACAACGGCCCCUGUAGACCCCCAGACCUCUGAACCGCAUGUGCCAGACGACAAUGUAGAUUUUAGAACUUUAUUUGAUUAGUUUUUUUAUUUUCAUAAUUAUUUUUUAAAUAUUUAUCUUGUAGUAUACAUUUAUUUUAUUUUAUAUAAUAAAUGUGUUCUUUACAAUUCAUUUUUUUUAUUGGAAUUUCAUUUUAUUAUCAAAAAAAAAAAACAAAUUUAUUUUUUUAUAAAAUAAAAAAACAAAGGUAAUAUUAAAAUUAAAUAAUAUUUAUAUAUAUAUUAAUUUUGCGUGAUAAAACCUUUCUCGUCGCGCAAAUUCACAUUUUACAAAAUAAAAAUGACACAUUUUUUUUAAAUACAUAUAAUUUAUUCUUGCGCGACGAAGUGUUUCAUCGCGCAAAAAGAAUAUGCGCGACAACGGUUUUUCAUCACGCAAAAGGUGUAGACACGAAUUGCGCAACGAAGAACUCUUGGUGCUGCAAAUGUCUACGACACAUAUCGCGUGACAAAUAUUAUCCUCCGUGCAUUGUUGUGGCGACGAACAUUCUUUCGUAGUGCAUAAGUUCGUGCGACGAACUGUUGUGUCGUCCUUGAACCUUUUGUGCAACGAAGGGUAACCGUCACACAAUUUUGCGCGAUGAAUGAAAAUAUUGGUCGCACAAAGUCUUUCUUCACGCUCUUUGCUCGACAAAUUGUGCACGACGCAUUUUCUGUCGCGCGACGAAUUUGUGCGACUAAGUGUAACUCUGCGCGACGAAAUUAUCUUCGUUGCGCAAAUCGUAAAAUGUGGUAGUGUAAGAAAAUAAAUCUUCUCCCUACAGUUCUCCCUACGAAUUUUGAGGCGGAGUCCACUUACUUUUUAGGGAAUGUGAUUACGGAUUUUGAGGUGGGGUCUAUUUAUUUUUUUAUUCCUGAUUGCAAGUAAACGCAAAGGAAGUCAGGAAUGGAAAUCAUUCCCUUUCCUCUCAUACCCAUUAUUGAUACGUAAACAUGCCUUAAAUGUAAUCAAAGUAAAAAAGAAAAAGAAAUUAAGUUAACUUGAAAAAUAUAAAAUCAAGACACUAAAUUAAACAUAAUGCCCUACAGCUAUCGAAAAUACAAGAACACAAAAAAAAAUUAAAAUAAAGGAUACUUUUACAAAAAAAAUUGAAAUUUAAAAUCGAAAAUAUGAAAACAAAUCUUCUCCCUACAAUUUAAUAUUUUUACAAAAGGAUACUUUUCUUUAAUAAUGAGUAACAAUUAAAUGUGUAACAAAUAGUAAUGAGAAAGAAGAGAAAAAAAAAAAAAAACUUGAAAAUGAUAAAGAUAGAAACAUACUCUCCCUCCUUGAAAUGCCAUCCAGACAAAUUUGCUGCUUCCGGAAGAGCUCUCCUCCACUUGAGCACUUUCUCCUUGUCAUCCUUGAACUUGCGUUCAUGGUGAACAAAUGCAUCACCAUAACUACUUCUUUGGUGUCGUACAUCUGAGGGAUCCACCUUGUAAAAAAAGGGCAAAACUAUUUGUUGCUUUGAUUCUUUACAUUGAAGAAUCUUGACAAGUUCAUCCAAGCACCACCUCGAAGAUGCAUAGUUUUCAGAGAAUACAAUGAUAGAAAUUCUUGAUUCUACAAUUGCUUUGACAAGGGCAGGCGAUAUUUCUUCUCCUCUAACAAGCUCUCGAUCAAUGAAGGUCCGGAUUCCCUUACGAACUAAAGCCUCGUGCAAAUGAUCUGUAAAAUUGGUGCGUGUAUCCUCACCUCUAUAACUCAAA